Ribosomal RNA from Pan troglodytes (chimpanzee), 118 nucleotides. Lineage: Eukaryota; Metazoa; Chordata; Mammalia; Primates; Hominidae. The record is from Ensembl.
GUCUGUAACCAUACCAUCCUGGAUGUGUCUGAUCUUGUCUGAUCUCAGAAGCUAAGCAGGGUUGAUCCUGGUUAGGAUUUGAAUGGGAAAAAGAAGCAAAUAAAAAAGUGGCAUGGCU